This 207-nucleotide ribosomal RNA is filed under the name uncultured bacterium. Its description in RNAcentral is "partial 16S ribosomal RNA". It matches the Rfam family "Bacterial small subunit ribosomal RNA", at positions 568 to 774 of the family's 1533-position model. The record is from RNAcentral.
CGCGUAGGCGGGCCUCCAAGUCCGGGGUGAAAUCCUCCAGCCUAACUGGAGAAGAGCCUCGGAGACUGGGGGCCUCGAGGAGGGUAGGGGCAAGCGGAACUAUGGGUGGAGCGGUGAAAUGCAUUGAUAUCCAUAGGAACUCCGGUGGCGAAGGCGGCUUGCUGGACCCUUUCUGACGCUGAGGCGCGAAAGCCAGGGGAGCAAACG